Non-coding RNA from Carlito syrichta (Philippine tarsier), 447 nucleotides. The record is from the annotation of a RefSeq genome assembly. Lineage: Eukaryota; Metazoa; Chordata; Mammalia; Primates; Tarsiidae.
AAGGAUUGAGAACAUUAUUUUGGCGACACUCUAAAGAUGAACUCUGCUCUUGGUUUAGUGACUGUGAUACUCUUACUGCUCGGAAGAACUUGUGGAGACUCAGUGACUCAGAUGGAAGGCCAAGUGACAGUCCCAGAAGGAGCUUUCUUGACUAUAAACUGCACUUACACAGCCACAGGGUACCCGACCCUUUUCUGGUAUGUCCAGUAUCCUGAAGAAGGUCCACAGCUCCUUUUGAAAGCCGCAAAGGCCAACGAUAAGGGAAGCAACAAAGGCUUUGAAGCCACAUACAAAAAAGAAACCACCUCCUUCCACUUGGAGAAAGCCUCCAUCCAAGAGUCAGAUUCAGCUCUGUACUACUGUGCUCUGAAUGACACAGUGACAAAAACUGCAGGGGACAAGGUCUUAUGGGGACCUGAAACAACUGUAACUCUGAUCCCAAAGUGA